GGAAAACUAAAGGACCUGCCACUUCAGAAGAAGCUCUGGGGUCUACGUACAAGCCGUCUUGCAUCUUCCCCAAGCCCCUUAACCUGAGCAGUCCAGGUUAAAGGGUAUCAGCACUGCCACACAUUCUUCUUUUUCCCAAAUUAAUCAAGAAGUAGGAAUUUCUGACAAAUGCCAUCUGCUGAUUUUUUCAGAGAGACAAGUUUUGGUGGUGUGACCAGCAGGUGCCUCAGCUUUUUCUAGCAUGCAGUACCAAAACAGUCGCCAUGGCAACCCUCGGAGGGCAGCCUUCCAAAGAGAUGCAUUGUGAGCACGGAAACUCUAGAGCACUUUCAAGCAAGAGGGAAGGAAGCUAGUGUUGGGUUUCCAAUGGGGGUGAGCAGGCGCUUCUCCCCAGGCACCCAGGCCAGACCCCAGCCCAGCCACACCCUCCCCUGCCCCAAGGCUGGUGCUCCCUGAAAGAGAGGAGAAUUUGGGGGUUCCUGGUCUAUACCAGGCAGAACAGGCAGCUCCUACAUGUCUUUCAGAGCUCAACCUCCUUCCUCGGUUCACAAUGAGAGUCCAACUUCUGCCAGUCCUGACUGCCAUCCAAACCGUUUUUCUUUUCAAGAAUUUGAGGAAGAAAACCAUCGUGUGCUCACAAGGGACCAGCUCUCUACAGAUCGCAGCGUCUGCAUCGAUGCCGUCUCUACUCUUCUUUCUCCUCGUUCUGCUCCUCUCCCUGCUCCCAUCCCAACAGGAAGGGACCUCUCCCACCUCAGAAACCCAUCAGCGCUUCUGCGACCUACUUCCUCAGACUCUGAGCACUGACUGAUCUGAGAUACAGUCACACCAGGACCCAGAAAGGACUCCAGAAAGGCCUGGCACAGAUGCUAACGUGUCCCAGAGAAGCUCCCUGUUGUUAAAUCCUGUUUUAUUCCUCCAACAGUCCAGCUGGAAUGGUGGCUUCAGAGUAAAACGUUUUUAUUUCAUUUCUUAGA
Molecule: non-coding RNA, 977 nt
Organism: Ictidomys tridecemlineatus (thirteen-lined ground squirrel)
Lineage: Eukaryota; Metazoa; Chordata; Mammalia; Rodentia; Sciuridae
Source: RefSeq, a predicted model, not a curated record